Molecule: long non-coding RNA, 769 nt
Organism: Cyprinodon tularosa
Lineage: Eukaryota; Metazoa; Chordata; Actinopteri; Cyprinodontiformes; Cyprinodontidae
Exons: 2
Source: RefSeq, a predicted model, not a curated record
GAAUUCUUAUCAUGUGAUCAAAACCAGCGCCCCCUUCUCCAGUUAAAAGAAAAAAAAUGAACAAAAAGAAGUUCUGUGUACAUCUAUGGGGGGGAAAAGGAAUGAAAAUAGUAAAAAGGCUUGUGUCUUGUAUUGCUUUGCCACUGAUCCCUGGCACAGAGAGUAAGAGCCUUCCGGAGCGCGGCGGUGUGGCCCGGGGAGCCGCACGGGACAGUCCGCCUCAUGGUGCGGUGCAGCGGGGACCUUCAGAGCGCAACUCCGGGAGUUUGGUUCAGGAUGCGGCUGAGGAUGAGCGGCUGCUUAACCUGUUUCCAUGGCCAUACACAGUAAUUGGGCUGCAGUUACUGGAUUCCUAAUUUCCAUCAUCUAUUGGGGAAGACUCUCUGUCUCUACUUACCUCACCACUCCUCCAACAGCCGUUCUAAGACCUGCUCCUCAGACUCUUUACAAUUGUUCUCUGUUCACCAAUCACCAUAUCGUGCAUUGACACGCCAUCCUUGAAGAUGUUUUUAAACCCCAGCUUGGUGUCUCCUUUAAGAUUUAUAAGUGAAUUACUUAAAAAUCAUCAGACAAGAUGGGAAACUUUGGGCCAGACUAUUAUGACUAUUAAUUUUUUCCGUGAACGGAGAAAACAGACUUAAAGGAAAUUUUAUUUGCUCUUAGGGGUGUUAUGUUAGUGUAACAUAAUGUUUUUAUGUCUUUCAUCUGAAGUCCUUUCAUAUUUGUCUGUAACAGGCUGCUUUGUGCAAAAAUAAAGGCUAUAACAGUG